UUGAAAAGAAUGUCAUUUUAUUAAAAAGGGUCGUGUUAACAAGAAGUUUCCUCUAAAACUCUCUCAAAUAUGGCAUCAGUAAAGUUUAUUUCACUGGAUAUUUUUUUAUUUAUAUAAGAAGCAUGAACAUGAAAAUGUAGAAAUGUUUGCAAGAAUGUCUCUAACAACUAGAACCAAGAUCCUUCAACUCUUCACCACAAAAACGCAGCGUUCCGCUCUUGCUCGUGGAUCCAGAAAUGGUUUCCGGCUGGACCCGUUUAGAGAAUCCGAAUCUUUAUCGUGUUGUUCAUUCUCGAGCUCAGCUGCAAGUGCUGCGGUUGAGGCCGAAACGGCUUCACCAUCUGCUGAGGUGUUUGAAAGUUAAAAAUGUGUUUCCAAAAAUUACAACUCUUUAAGUGGUUGAAGCCACAUGGCAAAAUUCUAUUGGCAAUUUUGGCUUUCACAAGGAUUGGUUUUUGUUUGGAAAAACAAGGACCAUUGAUUAAAAUCAAUGGUUGAGAAUUAGAUCCACUUUUAUAUUACUUGGUGGACUUUUCAUUCACGUGGAAGGUUUUGGCAAUUAGGUGGGCAGAUUCUUUUCUUUCAAUUUGGGCUCCUCUUCCUUUCGUCUCUCUCUCUCUCGAUGCCCUUUCUUGGUGAUUUCUCAAGGUUUUCCACUUGUAUUAAAUCUAAAAUUCUGACCGGUGGUUGAUGAGGUAUCAACGGUAGUAUUUCGGCUAUUUUGUGGUCUACGGUCCGGUGGUAUUUUGACCGGAAAUCUGGUCCGUUUUCAGCGAAGAAAUAGUCGAUGUUUGGUAUUGUAUUUGAGCAGUUUUUAGCCUUGUUUUGGUGGAGAUUAAACUGUGAAGUCAGAUACUAUACUUGGUGUAGGUCAGGUUUCGAUUUGGUGGAGUAUUGUGAGAUCUUUUGUAUAGAUCGAUUAGGGUUGAUUCUUGAGGUUUUAGAGACUGAAUAUAGUGGUGAUGUUGUUCUCGGUUUGGAGUACAAUCUGAUUGUGUACCACUUGUAAACUGGACCCUUGGAAGGCGUAGUGCAUUGCAUUCAACGGGCUUACCCCUGAGCCCCCCAGAUUAGCCCUUAUUUGGGUGAACUGGGUCACCAAUUUGUGGUGUUUGUGUUCUUUAAUUUCUGCACUUUAAUUACUUGUUUGUGAUGCUGCUUUUUGAUUUUACCGAUUGAGUAUUUUUGGUUUGACUGUAAUGCUGAAAAUAUAAAAUCGUUUAGGGUAAAAUCUGAUUUGGGACCAAAAAUCCCAACAAAACUGGUAUCAGAGCCUGUGUUAGGCUUCUUGAGUAUUUUUUUGAUUUCUGAAAAUUUUCAAAUAAAUCAUCCUUGGUGAAAAAUAAGUUUUCAAGUGAUCUGCAAUUUGAAGAAACUAAAAAUUAAUUGCAGAGUCAGAUUUCUUUAUUUUCUUGGGUCAGAUUCUGAGGUUUCUUGAACCAAUGUUUGGGUAAAAUUCACUGGCUGGAAAUUUAGAGGAUUCUGCAGACCUCUAAUGUGCCUGCAGUGUUAUUGAAUUGGUUAAAAAUACUACUGAUAUUGUUUGAUCAAGUGUUUCAGGUUGAAUUACUGUUUUGGUUCCACUAAAUUGGAGUUGGACCUGCUGGACUCUUAGCUUCUUGAUAAGAAACUGGAUUCAGAAGUAUUAAACUGUUGUUCAACAGUUUUGGUGAGAUCGUUUAAAUUUCUAGGAUUAAAUUUAAAAUCUCAUGCUGGUUUCUUACUGUUUAAUGCAAAUUGGAAUUUGUUGCUGCAUGCCAUAUUGAUAUAUGUUGUAAUCUGGAGUGCAUAACUGUUAAUUGACGAAUUGCAUGUUAUUGCUGAGUAUUACACAUAUCUGGACUGCAUAACUUUUAAUUGACGAAUUACUUGUUAUUGCUGAUUAUCAUACAUGCCUGCAGCACACACAAUUCACAGUAAUCUGAUUUUUCAUUUCAUUUGUUUAAUUCUGAAAUUGUUUCUUGACUGAUCUGUAAAACCUGAGUGUUUUUUCAAAAACUUUUUCUGCUUAUUUUUGGGAAUCUGAGAUUACCAAAUGGCCUCGAGCUCAAAUCACCAUUCCAUUGAAUCUGUUAUGGGUUCAAGGGUAGAACUGUCUCAAUUCAAUGGAAAGGGGGAUUACUCAAUAUGAAAGCAGAAAAUGAGGGCUAUUUUCAAUUACCCAUUCCAGCUAUACCUGUCUAAUUACAUUGGCUCUGUAUUUUACUUUGUUUAGCUGACAUGGAGUUGGAAGUAUUAGACUGACAUGACCCUGCAUUUUACUUUGUUUAGCUGACAUGGCCCUGCACGUUACUUUGUAAGCUCCUUAUUCCCAAGAAUGCUGAUUGUUGAAUUUCUGGGAAAAGGGCUAUACCUGGCUAAUUACAUUGGCCUGCCAUUUUACUAUGUUUAGCUGACAUGGUCCUGCACGUUCCUUUGUAAACUCCUUAUUCCCAAGAAGGCUGAUUGUUAAAAAAAGAGGGAAAAGGAGCAUGGAAACUACUGCCUAGGAUGUACGCAGCUAGUGGUAGCUGCGUUAUUGCCUGUUACCAAUAGUUGCUUUUAAGGCAGCUAGAUAAUAAAGAGCAGCUUUUUUAUUAUUGCCUGUUACCACAUAAUUUUUUAUAAUAAAAUGAUAUAAAUUAUAUUGAAAAAAUUAUCGUAAAAAAAUAAUAAACAUUAUUAAAAUAAUUAUUUUUUAAAAAAUACAAGUUAUACGCAUUUUUUAACGCACGUAUUUGAUCAUGUACGUUUAAAAUUUUCGAUAUUAAUUUAGAUCAUUUGAUAUGUUUAUGAUAUAGUUUUCGAAAUGAGCGUCGAGAGAAUAUAGAAAAUUUAUGGAUUCGACUAGCAUAAAAUUAUCAAAGAAUUUUUAAAGUUAACUUGUUAUCGAAAUUCUUGAAAUAUCAGUUUGAAAAUGCAUACUUUGACGCACUGUAAAAUUUGCUACGAUUGGUCAUUUCAUUCACCAUUGACGACGUGAAAUACUAGAUUAUGAAUAUUUCAAAAUGAGAUUAAGAAUGUAAUAUUUCGACAUCGUUUGAAUUUAUGAGUGUGUCACGGAGAGAGUUUCUCUGCUGUGUGAGCAGUGUGUCACGGAGAGUGUGAAUAUAGAUGGAGAGAAAAAUUACAAAUCUACAUGACAAGGAGGAAGAAAUAACUACACAAAUAAAUCGCUCAAAAAGUUGCAAGUGCAAUAAAGUUAAACCAGCGUAUAAUCGCAAAACAUUUGCACAUAAAAAUGACAAACACCACUGCAUCCCAAAAUAAAAAAUUCCUUCAAAUCACAUUGCACACUUAGAAUUGUAAAUCAGCAAACAGCCCCACAGCUUUGGCCCUCGAAGAUGACAAAACACAACUCUAUCCUAUAAGCAAUGAGAUUAUAAUUAUAAUCUAAGAAAUCCUAGUAUUCCUCCCAAACCAUUUAGACCAAGUUAUAGCCAUCAGGACAAGGCCAUAACAUUUCAGCCUCUUCAGCAUUUUUAAACCCCAACAAAAAGGGUCAGAUAAAUCCAUUAGAAACAUAGACAAGCUGGAGAACUCAGGAUUUCACAAAUGCUAUCAGCUAUACCUCCUGGAAGAUGGGGAAUGAAAUAAAAGAUGUGGGUGUUUUUUGAUAGUCACAACAGAAAUCCCCUAUGAGAGACGCUCAUGUACUAAAUCAUUAUUAUUAAUUUUCAAUGUUCGUAAAUAAGCUUUUACCUUAGAAGAGACUUUAGAUUACCAAGUCUAAGAUAACAGCAAAGCCAAAAACAUGAUUAUUUAUUCCCUUGAAAAAGCAAUUAAAAAUAAUAAUUUAGGAGAUGAAUUUUUAAAUAGAUGAAGAAACAAAGAGAGGACUACGAACUGCAUACCAAGACAGAGACACGAACUGCAUCACAUGACAAGUCUGCUUCUGCAUCAUCAGUUUUCUCUCUGCUCUCAAUAAUCUAUAUUUACAAAUUUUCAUUAGCAAAAUUGACAGAUUGAUGAAUUGUAUAAGAAUUAUAAACCUACCAUGCGGAAUAUCGUGUGUGGCCUACUGCUGUAUACAUUCAUAUUUGUCUCCCCAAUAUGACGAUGAGCUGUAAAAUCAAUAACAGAGAGCAAAAGAGUUUAAAUUGUUAUCCACCGCUUGAAUAUUUGAUUACGUAAGACUAAGAUGAGGAUGAGGGUGGGUUUCAUUUGAGUUUCCCCUUUUCAAAUUUACAGAUGAAAGGGAAUCAAAAGGAACUUGAUUCAUUAUGGAUAAUAAUAGAUACAAUUAGAUUCUGAGCAUUCCUUUGAGAAUGGGAACUUUAGAAAGUAAGAACUGUCAGUACAUUUAGAUAAAUAAAAGGAGAACUUACAUUCCCCAAAUUCCAUGAGUUCAAGAACUUGAUCAGGAGACGCCGCAAUUACUUCUCUUAAACCGGCAACAAAAAUCCCUCGCUUCAUGUUAUAGAAAAACAAAAAGAAUGUGAGACACUGACGAUUAGUACUUAUCUGCACAAUGAAAGUAGUCAUAUAGGUGGAAAAAGCAAACUAAUAGAUCGAUACUUUCAUGAAUUUGCAAUUUCCGAUGCUCAGGAGCCAACAAAUCAUUUAUCUCCUCAUUGUAGAUCUCCAUGUAAGACAUGCGUAAAAGAAACUCCCGAUCCAUUUCCUAGAAGUGAGAAAUUACAAUCAAAGAGUAUCAGUUAAAUCCAAUAACAAGUCUAAAUAAAACAACUGGUUCAUUUGUUGCAAUAAGAUCAAAGUUUACUAGUUAACCGAUAUAACGCGAGACAACCUAUGGUUACCAAAAGACAUUCAUAAGAUUAGAAUAUAUAAGUGCAUACCCAUCCUUAUGUGUUCAACUUGCCCAGUACUCCACAUUGAUUGUGAUGUUAAGUCUCAAAGCCAUGUGGUUUACCACAUGAAUUAAUAAAUGAACUCGAUUUCCCAACACAAUGGCCUUUUAUAAUCUAUAUUUCAUGCGUGUAACUGUCCCGUUGCUUUAGCAAUAAUGAAAGCUUUAGGAGAUUGGACCUAAUGAGCUAGCUUUAGGAGAAGUUGCUUACAUAUACUGCAAAUAUACUUUCCAGGUUUAGACAAGAACCAAGUGAAAUCCAUUUCCAACUGCAAAAAGGGUGCUAAGAUACAUAAAAGGGAAUGUGGGGUUGGGAAUCUGGUUUAGGAAGUCAGAAAAAUUGGUUUUAACUAGUUUUACGGAUAGUGAUUGGGCUGGAUCGCUCGAUGAUAUGAAGAGCACCCCCGGUUAUGUAUUUUAUGCUGGUUUAAGUGUGAUUUGCUGGAACUCAGUACAACAGAAAAGUGUAGCUCAAUCAAUAGACGAGGCAGAGUGUGUGAGUAUGUAGCUGCUUUAGAAGCUACCGAUCAGGCUGUUUGGUUAAGAAAAGUUUUGGAGGAUCUAAACCACAAACAGGCUAAUGCAACUGUGAUCUUUUGUGAUAACCAAUUUGCUGUACCCAUGGUCAAAAAUCCGGUGUUCCAUGGAAGAACAAAACAUAUCAAAAUCAGGUAUCAUGCAAUUAGGGAAGCACAAGAGAAUUGUGAAGUGAAGCUGGUGCAUUUCAAAGCUGAAGACCAAUAUGCAGACAUAUAACCAAGUCAUUAUUGAAAGGAAGGUUUGAAACAUUAAGGAAAAGUCUUGGUGUUUCCAGCAAAAGUGUCAAGCAAGAGUGUUGAUGUUUAUUUGUCCCUUUUGCUAUGACUUUUUGUAACAAUUGUAUGUAUUAAAAUCAGUCCAUGUAGUGUUUAUUUUUUGUCAUUAAAAUGUCUUUCACAGCAUGGUUUAUCAUGUCAACAGCUAAGAUUGUAGUUGGUAGAAAGUUGUCGACUAGAAGCAAGGUAGCAAACUUUUGUAAUGUAUAUAUAUAAGGCAACUGAUCAUGGUCAUGUACUGAUCAUUUUUCUCUGCACAAGACCUAUCUUUCUCUUUGUUUUACAAAAUCAUCAAUUUCUAUCCAAAAAAUUUCUAAAUAAUAUGCAAAUUAACAAAAACUUUGUCUGCCCCAAGAAAAUACACUUGGGAAGAUCAAAUUCUCAAAACAAUCAAUACAAUGAAUUUGGACACUAUUAGGUUUCCUAAACAAUAGAGUAUCGCAUGAACAAAAAAAUUGAGCCAAUAUAACUGUACAAUGAUAAAAGGUAACUUAUCAUCAUGAUAGAUAUUCCUGCUUCGAUACUAGAGAGAAAAUAAAUCUAAAUAUGAAAUCGUUAAAUGCUUGAAUAUCGGACAAACACACUCAUAUUAUUAUAUAACGAUAACUAGUCUAAACAAGAACAUUACUGUAAAGAGUUGAUGUCCAUAGCAUCUAGACUAGAGGAAUGAUCCCCUCAUGCGGUGACCGAGGUGGUGGAGUAGGUAAGCGCGGAGACCUUUGGUCACGAGUUCGUUUCCCCCUACCAACACUUUCUCGGUCAAACUUGUCGCACAGGGCUUGCCCAGUGCAGUUUACCUGGUUGGCGUGAUUUAUAGGCUAUUGUGUUAGUCCGAGGGUUUAUCCAGUGCGCACCCGAAGGGUAGCGACUGCGAGUUUCCCGUCAUAAAAAAAAAAAAAGAAGACUAGAGGAAUGAAUGUGUGAUCUAUAACAAACUAACACAUGAACAACUGAAUGUACAUAACAGUACUUCACAAAAAAGUUACUUCAAGUUUGGAAUUAAAAACUUAGAUGACUACACAAAAGAAAGCUAAUUUAUUAAAACAGCUGUCAAGCAAUAAUCACACCCUUCAUCUUCUUGUCCCUCUUCACAGACUGUGGAACCAUGUCAAAGUCAGUCUUAUAUUCUUCUAUCUGCUUAUCGCACCCAUGCUUGAAAAGUUGAGCAUCAACGCAUAAUCUUGAUAAUAUCUGAUCGAAAUUUUUAGCUAUCACAUCAAUCUUCCCGUAUAUGAUACAUUCCGCAUACUUAAUAACAAACAAUCCACAGUCAUGCCUGUAUAGUUUUUGAAUAAAAAAUACAACAAAUGUAAGGUGGAUGUAGCAAGUAGAGCAGGGCGUGUGAGAAAGAGUAAAUGUUGUGAUAUGUGUAUAUGUAACAUUUAAUGUGAUGUGUCAACAUCCUUACAUGUAAGUUAACAUUACAAUAUAAAUUAUAAUUAGUAUUUACUCACCCAUACUCAUCUUGCGGUAUGACUCUAGCUAUCUUGAAAAUGAGAGGGUCAACGCGUUUUGCUCCAUCAAUGAUCUUGGGCUACCAGGUUUUAAUCAUAACCAUCAAGCAUGGCAGAACACAUGCAAAAAGCCUCCACAUCGGCAAUGACCAUUCUGUCUCUCACGGUUAAUCUGCUUGAUUUGUAAAUUGGGCAAAAAUCCAAUGAGCUUUGUUGUCCAUCAUGACUGGGAACAAUAUAUGACUCUAGCUAUCUUGAAAAUGAGAGGGUCAACGCGUUUUGCUCCAUCAAUGAUCUUGGGCUACCAGGUUUUAAUCUUAACCAUCAAGCAUGGCAGAACACAUGCAAAAAGCCUCCACAUCGGCAAUGACCAUUCUGUCUCUCACGGUUAAUCUGCUUGAUUUGUAAAUUGGGCAAAAAUCCAAUGAGCUUUGUUGUCCAUCAUGACUAGGAACAGUACAUGAUCUACAUCACACCAUGGCAUAUAAUCCCCAUUCAGAUAUUCUACAAGUGACGUGAAUUUUGAAAUUGCCCUUAUGUCAUCCAUCGUGACUUGUAUACUGGUCGAGCCAUAGAACCAAAGAAUGAGUCGGUCGUCAUACAUCUAUAUAACUUCAAAAAGCUGAACGUUAACAUUUUCCACAAAUAGUAGAAACACACGUUUAAGUACUGCAUUGAGGUUUGGCGUCCAAAAUAAUUAGAAAAUAUACUGUAAAACUAUUGGAAUUUCAGUAACAUAAAUUGAAAAUAACACACACUUACUAAAUUCCUGAGGUAUACGUUCGGCUGGCAAAGCUCAUACCAUCGUGUUUUCGUGUCGACGACAUAAGGACCAAACUGUAGCGGUGGCUUUAUAACUUCCUUCGAAUUUGGAAACUUGUUUUUGCUGAUUUGUGCGAGCAAUGAUCAAAAGAAACGAUAUAUAUAAAACUAAAAACAAUCAACGUAAAAAGAAUAGAACAAGUAAAAUUUACCUUACAUGUAUUUUAUACUCAAAUCAUUCUACUGUACUAAAAAAAUAAUUAAAAAUAAUACACACAACGAAAUAAACCACAGAUUAGUGACUCCGAAAAAUUUUGACUAAAAUUUUGCUGUCUUUCUUGCUUGAUAUGUAUGCAGUCUAACCAUUUUCUUCUUCUUAGCGCUCGAGUCACCCACAACAUUGUCGAUUUGCCUUUUACUGGUGGUGUUAACUUUGCGAUGGUUUUAUAUAUUCGAAAACAAUCCUGAAAAUUUGUAAAUUAGAGAUUGCAGAAUGGAUUUUCGGACAUAAAAUGUGGAAAUAAAAGGAUAACGAGGUACUAGACGAUGGAUUUUGAUGUGGAUGAUGAUUUCUUAGGAACCUUAGGUUAGGUUUGAAGUCUCGUAACGAAGAAGAUUGAAUUGGGAAUUUUGCAUAUCUCUGAAAUAAUUGAGUAGAGUUAAAUCGGGGAUUAAUAGUCAUUGAAUGUGGAACGUCAAAUCAGCAUAAUUCAUAUAACGUCAGUUACAAAUGAAUUUUAGAAUCUAUAUUUAGAAGUGUAUUUUUUAAUCUAAUUUACAUUCAUGUUAGUAUAUUUAGUUAUAUUUCAUUCACCUAGUAAAAUAUGAAAUCUUUAUUUGUAAUAGGCUAUAUACGAAUUUUUCCAUUUUUUCUUCUCCUUUUUAAACAUCGGAAAAAUUCGCAUUUGCUUAUGAAAUAUAAAGUAUUUCAUACAAUACCAUACAUAUUUCAAAAUUUAAAAUAUACCAUACAUUUCACAUGAUAUGAACUACCAUUUCAACUUUCCAAAAUAAUCUCAAUGUAACUGAAAAGCAUUUAUGAGCUGCCAAUAAGGAAAUCAUUUAUUUGCAUGGUAAUUCAAAACUAAAACUGGUUUUCCAAUGCCAGCAAUUUGAAUAUAUGAUUUCUUAAUCACUCUUCAACACUAUUUCAUGAUUUCACUCGCUGAUAUUAAUUAUCUGUACGUGAACCUCUCGAUUAAUUAUCUGAUAUUAACCUACAAUCUUAACCCGCGAUACAAAAUCAUUUGGUCUUCUGUUACCGACCAACGGCAGAUACCAUGAUCUAGUUGGCAUGACAUCGAUCGAGAUGCAUAUCGAUAUUAGUAUGGACAAGGUUAAAAUAUAUUACGAUGUUGGAGGUAGCAUGGCAUCUGUAACAACAAAUAUUCUGAAGGGGUAAUCAAGGCGGAAGUCAGGAACAAGUUGGACCUGCUACGCGUCUUGGUGGUGUCUCAGCCUCUAUGGAGACGACUACAAGGCUUAAUCGAGAGUAAUGAAGCUCUCUCUAUCUAGUUUGUACAGUUUAUUGGGUUGCGCUAUGGAAGGAGUGUAUGCCAGAGUUAAAUUUAGAUAGCUGUAAUCUACUCAUUUUAUAAGCAGCAGUGAAAAGCAUGGUUGAACGAGCAUGAAGUAAGUGCCAAUAAGUGAAAAAUGAUCUUCCAAUUUUUAAACACAUUUUUUCUCAUCAUGAAUUUUAUUAAUUUUUCUAUAUAUUUUAUAAACUUUUAUUAAAAUUAUAAUUAAUCAAUUCACACGGCUUUUUAGAAAGACUACAUAAAUCGACAAGCCCUAAAAAUGGAAUCAAUUGCAAAAACUAGAUUAUUGUCUGAAAUCUCACAAACCCACGAGCUAGCAUCACUCGAGAUAUGCUGACCUACUACUCCAAUAUGGUUUUUAUAUUGACGAUCCUAAAUCUCAUCAUCAGCAAAAUAUUAUGGAAACGACCAUUUCUUGAAAUAAUUUAUUUUGAUUUCACAGUAUGCCGGUUGAAGGUGAGCAGUCAGUGAGAUGAUACUUGAUUUUCUAGAUUAAUUGAUUUGGGGUUUUUGAUAGGCAUGGCAACAGGGAGCGUAUGGGACGGGUUUACCAUUCUCAUUCCCAUCCUAUCGAGUAUUUUUGUUAUCUUACUGUAUACCCAUACCCAGUUGAAGCGAAACGAGGUGAGUUCAGUGCUGGAUCGUGGCAGGCAGGGUAGGUCCCCUGCCCGAUUUAUCUCCCCAUUUAUUUUUUCUCUUUAUUUUUUAUUCAUUUUAUUUUUUUGCUUUUUUUUAUGUUAUUAGUUAGUAAAUAUUAUCACUUUUUUACCAAUUUGUUAAAAACGACUUAUGUUCUCUUUAUAAAUGAUAAUAAAUCUGUUAUUUUUAUUUGAUAAAAGCUUAAAUUUGAAAUUAGCAUUAAACAGGGCGGGGACUAUGUUUCUCAUACCCGCUUUGGGGUGAUGACCCUCAUCCCGUACCCGCCCCAUUUGGGGUGGGCCCCACGGGUAUCAGGUUGAACGGGUGCCAUCCCCAUUUGAUUUUGACUCGAGAAAUCUUAGCUUAUCUUUGUAAGUUGGGAUUUUUUGAGGUAAUGGCUGUUAAGUUGAGAUUUCCUCAUUGUGUUCCUUUUUUUGCUGGUUUUUGGAGUUGAUAAUUCAAUCAUUUGAUAAUUCACAAGAUAACAUCAUGUGAUUAUAACCGAAAGUGAAAUAUUCACAUAAGAUCAUAAAAUAUCAUCUCAAAAUUAUGAUAUAAACAUCAAUUGAUAAUCAUUCUAUAAUCUCAUCACAUCAAACGUACUGAAAAAUUCACCAAAAAUGUACCCUCUGACUGAAAUAUAUAAUCCGCCUCUCGGGUUGAGAACUCUCGCCACAGGCCUUUGGCCCCUCCGUGAACGAAAGUCGGUCUCAAAGCUUCUCAUAAUCAAUUCUAGAACACGGCCAAGGCCCUUCAGUGAACUAUAUAUACACGGUCGAGACCCCUCUAUCCUCGGUCCAAGACCCUUUAGUGUAGUAUAGUACACGGUCAAAGCCCCUCAGUGAAUUAGAAGAAAUAUAUAAUCGCGGGUACUUUUCUGGUACAUCUCAAAAUCAUAUCUCAUAUUUCAAUUCACAAUGUAACGUAUACAAUCUUUGAAAUCUCACAUGUAGCAUAAUAAUAGAUAUUUUCAUAAUAACCAUGUAAUUCGAACACAUAAUUACAUAUAAUUGCACAUACUUUAACAAUAAACUUAAUUUAUAAAUACUUUAAAAAUAUUUAUAUUUUUUCACUUACAGAACUAUGUUCGCAAAAUUAACCCAGUUGGCAAACUGUUCUGAUAUUAGUAUUGUCGCCUGAAAUAUGAUAUAAUUUUUAUAUAAACAAUUAAUUAUUUUAAAUAAUUUCAAAAAUUAAAUAGGCGAUACCUAAACUUUAUUAUUAUUUUAUUGUUUUGUGGUUUUUUUUCCCCUAGCUUGACACAUCUGACUAAAGUUUUUGUUUGAACCAUUUUAAGUAAUUAUAUUAUUUUAUUAUUUUAACUUGGUUAUUACACUCUUGUUCCCAUUUGGGAUCUUCCUCUAGGUCUGAUUCAAAUUGAGGCUCGGGCUCAACCUCAUCAUUGGGCUCAAUUACUAUCUUAGGUUGAGGUUCUAAGCUCUCACUCCACCUAUCUAGAAGGAUCUGGCAAUAUAUACUAAAUUCAAUUGUAUUUGGAUGCUCUAGAGAGUUACCUUCUAGCAUUUCAUCCCUAACCAUGACUCUCAUGUUUCCCCAUUGAGAUGGGAAUGAAUGUAUGAGAUUAUUCACAGCCUUGAUAUGCGUGAUCUCCAGUCCUGUAUCUACAGUUGCCAUACAUCUCUCGUAGAUGUCAUGUACGUGUUCAACAAAUGGACGAGACGGGUUAGUCACAUAGUUCGCAUAGGACAGAAUGAUAGACUUACGGUUCAACGCUGCUCUAAAGUUGUGGGCUUUCUAGUCUUCUGAUAAGUCCUAACCAUGUCUAUUACAUAAGUGUCCAAUUAUGUUUUAUCUUUGUUAGUGACAUCAACUUACACAUUAUGCACUUGAGGUUUUAAUAUAAUGAGCAAUUAUCUUUUCUUUAUUUUUAUUUAAACGAAAUAUAACUUACAUAACAUAUUUCAUUCUAAACAUUAUAAGCAUCUUCAUAGAUUCAAGUUUAAAUGAUUUAUAAAUCAUGCUCGAAAAAUAAAGUGGAACAUGAUAUUUUAUUCAAUACUUUGGGUUUGUAGGAUGAGGUCAACUGAUGGACGCAAUAUACCAUGGAGUGCCUUAAAUGUUUCGUUUUUCUCAUUUCAUAAAUAAAAUACACUAAGUCCACAGAAUCAACUAAACUUGUGCUCUGAUACCACGUUAUAACCCCACGACCCGCAUGGAUCGAAACGUCACCAGAUUAACUGUACUUUAGCUGUAAAUUAAUUUACCAUGUUUUUAGUGGAAGGUAUAAAAAUUAAAUUUUUAAAAUUUAAUUCAAAAUUUUUUUUUACUACUAAAAGAAAACAAUUUCAAAUAAUAAUAAUAAUAAAACGGGAUUCAUUCAUACCGUAUAUGCAACAUACCGUACUUACAACACACCGUAUUUGCAUCAUACUUUACACCAUACCAUAUUUGCAUCAUACCGUAUUGACGGCAUACCGUAUAUGCAUCAUACCGUAUUUACAGCAUACCGUAUUUGCAAAACCGUAUUUGCAAAACUUUAAAAGUAAUAUUGCUGUUUCAGUUUUUGUCUCAAAUGGUAAUUGCCAAAAUAAAUUCGUUUGCUUGGCUAUCAACCUCGAAAAUUCAUGAAAUUCUAGCGUAGAGUUGAAAACUCCUUAUAAUAUGAUAUGUCCAAAAAUCGGCUCCCAUCAACAGCAUAUAGGGUUCUAAAAUAUUUUUCAAACCUCGCAGUGACUCAGGCUAAAAGGUAACCCAGCGCAGCUUACAUUAAGUGUCAUAUAAAAUUCUACACACAUCGAAUCUACAUGAUUUCAACUAUACUCAAUAGCUAACCCUUGAAUAUCAAACCCAAUUGGUUUUCAUCCAAAAAACUCAAGUAAUGAGUGAAUUAUGAAUUUUUUAAAGCCAGGGAAGAAGCUGAAAAACAGAGACAGCACCCAAUGUAGUUUACUUUAUGUGACAUAUAAAAUUCUAUCGACAUCGGAUUAACAUGAUUUCAAGUUUAUUCAGUAGAUAACUUAUUAGGCUAUCUGACGCCACUGUUUUUGUAUAAAAAUACCAAGUAACAAAAGAGUUAUGAAUUUUUAAAGAUGAGGCAGAAACUGAAAUUUUUAAAGAUAUAACAAAACUUUAAAUCGCUAACAUUUUCUUUUUUUUCUUUCUUUUUUUUUUUUUUUGGUAGAAGGUGAUUUGUAAAUUUAUUUCUAUGACACAUAUCUACCUUCAACAUAAUUCAUUCAUAAGAAAUAUUCUUAGAAUAGUUCCAAUAUGACGUCCAUAGAAAUCAAAAUAAAUAAAUAAAUGUAGACAUUCAUAAUUUAAUUAAGAUUUUCAAGUCACCGGCUUUCUCCAUGGCAUGCUGCAUCUCCAUCUACCAUCAUCCACACCCUCAGGCAAGUCAAAUCAAUCUGUAGAAAGGAAAAUUUAACCCAUGAGUUUGAAACUCAAUAGAUAUCAUCGGUGCAUUUCGUUAUCAAAUUAGAAAUUUCGAACUAUAGAUUCAUACCAUCGCACGUAGAUGGAUUUCCAGCAAAAUUCAAUUACUGUAGCAUUAUCAUAACACGUAGAGCCGGAGAAUAAUCAUUCAAGCUAUUGUAGUGCCGUAGUACCAUACCAGGAGGUACCAUUUCAUUCAAACGUUUAUCAAAAAAUCAUAAUUUGAAAACGAAAUAAAUUCUUUCACCUCUAUUUACCUUCGUUUGACGCCUUUGUAGUGAAUGAAAUUGGACGAUAAAUAUUGUUUCCCCGACGGCACCCAAAGCUUUAAAAAUUUUGAUCCUCCUUCAUGUUUUCAUCUUUACUUUUGAAAGCUUUUUCUUGUAUUGUGUAUAUAUGUUAGAAAAGGAUAUGAAUAACCUGAAAGAAAUGAAAAUCAAGUCUCAAAUUCUAGUAGAGAAAUAUUGACAGCAUUAGAGGAGUUUUAAAAUGUUUUUUUUUUUUUUCUUUUUAAAGCUAAAGUUUAAGUUAAGAAAUGAAGGUCAAAUCCCUAUUCAAAAAAAGUGGGCAGCAUUUAAAUUCUUACCUGUGAGUGUGUGUAUAUUUAAAUGUAUAAUUGACAAAUUGAAAGUGAAAGGUGAAAAAACAGUGGCCUUCAAUCACUCACCAUUGCAGACAAUUAAAAUGGAUUAAUGGUAAAACGUAUGUUACAAAUCCCAAUUUCAAUUGCAUUGAAAACUGAAAACGUUUGUGUGUUUGCAAAUUAAUGAUUUGUUUAUUUACCAAUUUAAAUGAUUUUGUUUAUUUACCAAUUAAUGAAAUAUGUUCUUGUGUAUAUUAUAUAUAUAGUUCGUCAUCAUUUAUUUUUUUAAAUCUUUGGUCCCUAACCUUAUUAAACUAAUCAAAACAAGGAAGCAACAUAACCUCAAUUAGAACUUAAUAAACUCUAUUUUAAUUAUAAUUCUAUUUUUCUUAUAAUUCGGUCCUUUUGAAAAAUAACGAACGGAAAUCAAAUCUUAGAAAUAUUUACCAUAAAUAAAUUUUCACCAUCGGGUCAAAUCUUUGGGGAAAACAUUAAAUUCCAUCCAACUUCAUUUAAAAAUUAUUUAAGACAUAUUGGACAAGUAUUGGGCUUUCAUUUCUUGUGUGGGUCGAGCAUAAGGUUAGUCUAUGAGCUAGGUUUGUGGUGCUAGAU
RNAcentral lists this long non-coding RNA (14588 nucleotides) under Olea europaea (common olive). RNAcentral describes it as "long non-coding RNA (OEUR_LNC003178)". Lineage: Eukaryota; Viridiplantae; Streptophyta; Magnoliopsida; Lamiales; Oleaceae. The record is from RNAcentral.